UUCCGUAGGUGAACCUGCGGAAGGAUCAUUGUCGAAACCUGCC
RNAcentral lists this ribosomal RNA (43 nucleotides) under Elatine heterandra. RNAcentral describes it as "partial 18S ribosomal RNA". The record is from RNAcentral. Lineage: Eukaryota; Viridiplantae; Streptophyta; Magnoliopsida; Malpighiales; Elatinaceae.